Molecule: small nuclear RNA, 299 nt
Filed under: Propithecus coquereli (Coquerel's sifaka)
Lineage: Eukaryota; Metazoa; Chordata; Mammalia; Primates; Indriidae
Description: 7SK RNA (ENSPCOG00000011362.1)
Rfam family: 7SK RNA
About the family: 7SK was discovered as an abundant small nuclear RNA in the mid-70s but a possible function has only recently been suggested.
Source: Rfam by way of RNAcentral
AGAUGUGUAGAGAGCAAAUAUUUUCUCCCAUUCUGUUGAUCGCUAGGGUUGAUUCGGCUUAUCUGGCUGGCUAGGCAGGUGUCCCCUUCCUCCCUCACUGCUCCAUGUGUGUCCCUCCGGAAGCUGCACACUUGGUCGAAGAGAAUGACCUUCCCCAGUAGAGGAGGACCGCUCUUCGAUCAAGGGUAUAGCUGUGCUCCCCUGCUAGAACCUCCAAACAAGCUCUCAAGUCUUGUUGCUGAUGGUUAUCUCGAAAUGGUUAAUGGGCCAUCUGGUGAUUUGAAAGGUGACAGCUAGAU